Molecule: ribosomal RNA, 494 nt
Filed under: uncultured bacterium
Lineage: Bacteria
Description: partial 16S ribosomal RNA
Rfam family: Bacterial small subunit ribosomal RNA
Source: RNAcentral
GACGAACGCUGGCGGCGCGCUUAACACAUGCAAGUCGAACGGAAAGGCCUGCUUUCCCUUGUGGAUUGCGGGUACUCGAGUGGCGAACGGGUGAGUAACACGUGAGUGAUCUGCCCCCAACUUGGGUAUAAGCCUGGGAAACUGGGUCUAAUUCCCGAUAGGACUGCAGGGUGGUGCCUGUGGUGGAAAACGAUUUUCUAGUGGUUGGGGAUGAGCUCGCGGCCUAUCAGCUUGUUGGUGGGGUAAUGGCCUACCAAGGCGGCGACGGGUAGCCGGCCUGAGAGGGUGGACGGCCACAGUGGGACUGAGAUACGGCCCAGACUCCUACGGGAGGCAGCAGUGGGGAAUAGUGCACAAUGGGCGGAAGCCUGAUGCAGCGACGCCGCGUGGGGGAUGACGGCCUUCGGGUUGUAAACUCCUUUCGACCGCGAGGAAGCCGCCUGGUUGGAAGGGUGGUGACGGUAGUGGUAGAAGAAGCACCGGCUAACUACGUG